RNAcentral lists this ribosomal RNA (254 nucleotides) under uncultured bacterium. Its description in RNAcentral is "partial 16S ribosomal RNA". It matches the Rfam family "Bacterial small subunit ribosomal RNA", at positions 524 to 776 of the family's 1533-position model. The record is from RNAcentral.
UACGGGGGGAGCAAGCGUUGUUCGGAUUUACUGGGCGUAAAGGGCGCGUAGGCGGCCACCGCAAGUCGACUGUGAAAUCUCCGGGCUUAACCCGGAACGGUCAGCCGAUACUGCGGGGCUAGAGUGCAGAAGGGGCAACUGGAAUUCUCGGUGUAGCGGUGAAAUGCGUAGAUAUCGGGAGGAACACCAAUGGCGAAGGCAGCUCGCUGGGACGUGACUGACGCUGAGACGCGAAAGCGUGGGGGGCAAACAGG